GCCCCCCCCAGACCAGCACAGCCCCCCACGGACCAGCACAGCUGCCCACAGACUAAGGGAGGCCCCUCACCUGAGCUGCUGGAUGGCCAGCUGCAGCAAGGAGAAAGCUGGACUGCGGUCCCUCAGGCACCUGCCAGGUGCUGUCCGGCCUCUCCCUCCCCCUCGGUUAGUCACCACCCACCUCCACCCGGACCUCACCAGGCAGGUGACAGAGCCUGGGAAAGGAGUCCCCUGUGAGCUGGCACUGCCCACCCCCGUCCACAGACUGGCCAACAGAGGUUUAGUGGGGUUGAGUUCAGGCCCCUGCCUAGGGGGUCAUCCCCCACUAUCUAGGUUCACACUCUACCCCCCCCACCACCCCCUCGGUUAGUCACCACCCACCUCCACCUGGACCUCACCAGGCAGGUGACAGAGCCUGGGAAAGGAGUCCCCUGUGAGCUGGCACUGCCCACCCCCGUCCACAGACUGGCCAACAGAGGUUUAGUGGGGUUGAGUUCAGGCCCCUGCCUAGGGGGUCAUCCCCCACUAUCUAGGUUCACACUCUACCCCCCCCACCACCACCCAGGGUCAUCUGUUACCUGCUGCCCAAGGUGGCCCCUGCCCCACCUGCCCCACUCGGUGACCGGUGACCGCGCAGCUGGGCCCCCACCUGUCCCUUGAGGCUGCUCAGACUUUGCCCUCUAACCCCGCCCUCCCCCAGCAGGAAGCUGGGUGCUGGGCUCAGGUUCAGGGCAGGUCGGAGUCUGGUGACCCAGGGCUUGGCUAGAGCAAAGGCCGGAGGAGGCCCGACCAGCCCGCGUCCGGGGAGGAGGGUGAGGUUCAGCUCCUUAGCGCUGCUGUGUUUGGUUGUGUCAGGCAUGCGAUAAAAUCGCCCCGUUUCUGUGCACGUGUGUAGACUCGAACACCCCCCAGUCCGAAUUACCUGGCACCCCUCCCAUGCCCCCUGGGGUUGCACCCUGCCCCCACCGGCCCCAGGGCGCCAACGAUGACCUCUGGUCACAGUCUCUGGGAGAAGGCCACACACGGGGGAGAGCCAGAGCCUGGGAGGCAAAGCGCAAGGCCCAGCAGCCACCACGGGCUCCCCAGUCCCUCCUCUGGGCCGAGGCAGUCCGUCUAGACGCGCCGUGGUUUGCGUGGCCUGCCCCUGUCAAGGCAUCUAGGGACCUCCCGCUCGGACUGCAAAGAGCUGCUGAGACCUCCUGGCCACCAACCUGUUCUCCACAUACACGAGUUUGGCUCUGUCGUUGCUGUUGUUGGAACCCAUAUCCACGUGUAAGAGACCACGAGACUGGGGCGCCUGCGUGGCUCAGCCGGUGAAGCAUCUGCCUUCGGCUCAGGUCACGAUCCCAGGGUCCUGGGAUCGAGCCCCAUGUCGGGCUCCUUGUUCGGCAGGGAAUUUGCUUCUCCCUCUCCCUCUACCUCCUGGUCCCCUACUUGUGCUCUCUCGCUAUCUCUUGCUCUCUGUCAAAUAAAUAAAUAAAAUCUUAAAAAAA
RNAcentral lists this long non-coding RNA (1493 nucleotides) under Ursus maritimus (polar bear). RNAcentral's name for it is "lncRNA (ENSUMAG00000023317.1)". Lineage: Eukaryota; Metazoa; Chordata; Mammalia; Carnivora; Ursidae. The record is from RNAcentral.